CCUACGGGCGGCUGCAGUGGGGAAUAUUGGACAAUGGGGGCAACCCUGAUCCAGCCAUGCCGCGUGUGUGAAGAAGGCCCUCGGGUUGUAAAGCACUUUCAGUGAGGAAGAACGCCUGGUGGUUAAUACCCAUCAGGAAAGACAUCACUCACAGAAGAAGCACCGGCUAACUCCGUGCCAGCAGCCGCGGUAAUACGGAGGGUGCGAGCGUUAAUCGGAAUUACCGGGCGUAAAGCGCGCGUAGGUGGCUUGAUAAGCCGGUUGUGAAAGCCCCGGGCUCAACCUGGGAACGGCAUCCGGAACUGUCAAGCUAGAGUGCAGGAGAGGAAGGUAGAAUUCCCGGUGUAGCGGUGAAAUGCGUAGAGAUCGGGAGGAAUACCAGUGGCGAAGGCGGCCUUCUGGACUGACACUGACACUGAGGUGCGAAAGCGUGGGUAGCAAACAGGAUUAGAUACCCUUGUAGUC
RNAcentral lists this ribosomal RNA (465 nucleotides) under Vreelandella stevensii. Its description in RNAcentral is "partial 16S ribosomal RNA". It matches the Rfam family "Bacterial small subunit ribosomal RNA", at positions 338 to 795 of the family's 1533-position model. The record is from RNAcentral. Lineage: Bacteria; Pseudomonadati; Pseudomonadota; Gammaproteobacteria; Oceanospirillales; Halomonadaceae.